RNAcentral lists this ribosomal RNA (498 nucleotides) under uncultured bacterium. Its description in RNAcentral is "partial 16S ribosomal RNA". It matches the Rfam family "Bacterial small subunit ribosomal RNA", at positions 28 to 507 of the family's 1533-position model. The record is from RNAcentral.
GACGAACGCUGGCGGCGUGCCUAAUACAUGCAAGUCGAACGAGAGCAACCGGUGCUUGCCCUGGUCAAUCUAGUGGCGAACGGGUGAGUAACACGUGGGUAACCUGCCCAUCAGAGGGGGAUAACAUCCGGAAACGGAUGCUAAAACCGCAUAGGUCUUCGAACCGCAUGGUUUGAAGAGGAAAAGAGGCGCAAGCUUCUGCUGAUGGAUGGACCCGCGGUGCAUUAGCUAGUUGGUGAGGUAACGGCUCCCCAAGGCCGGGAUGCAUAGCCGACCUGAGAGGGUGAUCGGCCACAUUGGGACUGAGACACGGCCCAAACUCCUACGGGAGGCAGCAGUAGGGAAUCUUCCGCAAUGGACGCAAGUCUGACGGAGCAACGCCGCGUGAGUGAAGAAGGUGUUCGGAUCGUAAAACUCUGAUGUUAGAGAAGAACAAGUGCUAGAGUAACUGUUAGCGCCUUGACGGUAUCUAACCAGAAAGCCACGGCUAACUACGUG